CUUGGAAAGUGAAUUUGAAGUGACAGUUUAAGGAUGAGAAUGACUGGCAGGGAUGGUUGUGUAAGGCAGAGAACAUGUCUAGACAAAGUUUGGAGGUGGGUGGAACUGGCUGGUGUGCUUGGGGAGUGGCAACUUGGCCACCAUGGUGGCAGCUCAGGAUGCACAUGGGAAGGCAUAAUGGAUUGUGGAAGGAUUUGAUGCUGUAUUGAGGAAUUUGGAUUUCUUACUCUAACCAUUGGGGAACUAUUCAAGGGUUUUGAGGUGGGGACUGAUGGGUUAAUUAUAUAUUCCAAGAGAAUAAUAUUGUCAGCAAUGAAAAAUAUUUGUUGGAGAAGGGAAAUACUGGGGUCAGGAAGAGGCAUUAAGAGAGAAGAGAAGAUGAGGACCUGAACUAGGGCAGAGGCCAGGCAGAUCUGAAAGACCGGCCUUUUCAGAUGGGGACAAUUAUCUGUGUUUGACUUCUUUUUUUUUUUUUUUUUAACAUAUUUAUUUAUUUAUUUAUUGAGGAAGAUUAGCCCUGAGGUAACAUCUGCUGCCAAUCCUCCUCUUUUUGCUGAGGAAGACUGGCCCUGAGCUAACAUCCGUGCCCAUCUUCCUCUACUUUAUAUGUGGGAUGCCUACCACAGCAUGGCAUGCCAAGCGGUGCCAUGUCCACACCUGGGAUCCGAACCGGCAAACCCCGGGCCACCAAAGCAGAAACGUGAACUUCACUGCUGCUCCACUGGGCCAGCCCCUGUGUUUGACUUCUUUCAUCAAGAUCAGGAGUGGCAAACUAUGGCCCAUGCACCAAUUUCAGCUGAUCACCUAUUUUUGAUCUCUGAGCCAUCAUCUUUCAACAAGAGGCCUGGGUGACUGCCAAUCAAGAGAAGCAAGCCAUAUGUAUUAAGACUGUUUGAAUAGAGGAAAGAAGCAGAAGUUUCAUGUAAGUUCCAAAUUGAAAGUGACAAGGGCGGAUGCUUCAAUUUACAGGCAAUGAUUUGCAAAUGAGCUAUUUUAUACGCAGGCAACUCUAGGUAAUGUGCUUCAGGGCGUGGAGCCCAGGGCAGUGAUUCUCAACUGGGAUGACUUUGGCCCCACACCCACACCCCUACCAGGGAACAAUUGGCAAUGUUCAGAGACAUUUUUAGUCGUCACAAGUAGAAAUGGGGAUGCUACUGGCAUUUAUAGAGGCCUGGGAUGCUGCUGAAUAUCCUACAAUGCACAGCACAGCCCUUCAUCACAAAGAAUGAUCCAGCCCAAAAUGUCAAUGGUGACAAGGUUGAGAAACCCUGUCAGAGGGAUUCAACCCUUUAAUGAUGGUUGAUGAUCCUCCCGGCCAGCACCUGGGUGACCAGAUAAGAUUCCACAUGUAUUUCUAGCAGAGUGUCUGUUCCUAUGGGGACUUCUCAUUGGUCGGUAGUAAGUAGUGAGACUCAUGAAACCCAUGCUCAGCAGGUCUCGCUUGGUGGAAGAGGUUGGACUUUAGGAGUCCUCAGGAUGAUGGAGGGGAAAGCUGCAGGGAGCUGGAGUGGGGCUGGGUCCCACGUCCAGGUUUGUGGAAGGAGCGGUUUGGUGUGGGACAAACCAAAGAAGAGUUUGAUAGAAAGUAAGUGAUCCUGUAAGUUGGGGGAGGGGAGCACCUGGCAACUUGGUGGCAGGUGGGGAGCUCCUUACUAGUGCACAGAUGGCUUCGUGUGCUCCGGCCUCUGCUGUCACUCUUGCUGACAGUGUGAUGCUCUGUGAAGCCUCCUAUCCCCUUGGCAGGAGAAGGGCUUCCACCACUCCGGGUACUCCCUCUCAUGGCCUCUUCUUUUGACUCUGCUUUCUACAUGGACCUACGGGAAAGCAGUGACGUGCUGUUCCCCAGGAAGUCCCUGCGCAGCUCUCGGCUAGUGAGGUAUAUUUGGAAAUGAGGUCCUAGACGGUGACCAAAUCCUUUUCCAAAAUUAUGCCACCUUCCUAAGACCAUUCCAGUUAAAACCAGGAAAUAGAUGGGAUUGCCUGCCAUCAAUAAGAUUGCU
Equus caballus (horse) is the source of this 2000-nucleotide long non-coding RNA. NCBI's taxonomy places the organism in Eukaryota, Metazoa, Chordata, Mammalia, Perissodactyla, Equidae. The record is from Ensembl.